Molecule: ribosomal RNA, 261 nt
Filed under: uncultured archaeon
Lineage: Archaea
Description: partial 16S ribosomal RNA
Rfam family: Archaeal small subunit ribosomal RNA
Source: RNAcentral
CAGCCGUAAACUAUGCGCGUUAGGUGUACUGGUGACCACGAGUCACCGGGGUGCCGAAGGGAAACCGUGAAACGUGCCGCCUGGGAAGUACGGUCGCAAGGCUGAAAUUUAAAGGAAUUGGCGGGGGAGCACCACAACGGGUGGAGCCUGCGGUUUAAUUGGACUCAACGCCGGAAAUCUCACCGGAUAGGACAGACAUAUGAUAGUCGGGCUGAAGACUCUACUUGAUGAUCUGAGAGGAGGUGCAUGGCGUCAGUGACU